Molecule: long non-coding RNA, 1739 nt
Organism: Oryza sativa Japonica Group (Japanese rice)
Lineage: Eukaryota; Viridiplantae; Streptophyta; Magnoliopsida; Poales; Poaceae
Source: RefSeq, a predicted model, not a curated record
UGGAUAGCUAAGCCAUAUGGCUGGCCAAACUGGCUCCUCAAUGGCUAAAUUUGGCCAGUCCAAAUUGGCUUGCCAAUCGUGGCCCCACUCUCUCCCUCCUCUCUCUCUCUCCUCCCGCACUCUCUUCCUCUCCCAUCAGUUUCGAGCACCACUGCCAUCGUCUCCGGGCAUCGUAUCCGGCGGCGCGCUCAUCAACGAUGUGCUCACCGACGACGUGCUCCACUGGCUACGGGUCUAGAGCUCCGAUCGGUGGCGCCUGCGCGCGCGCCCCGACCCGGCCAUGCUACGCUGCCUCGCCGCGCGCUUCCCCGGGAUCCUCGAGCUGGACCUCUCCCAGUCGCCGUCCCUCUUGUUCUACUCCGGCGUCAUCGACGACAACCUUUGACGUCGUCGCCGGGGGCUUCCGCAAUCUGCGCAUCCGCGCUCUGCAGAUUUGCAAAGUUUUGUGAAUUCAGAACGUAGCUGAUGCAUAGCUGCAUACGGCGACGAGGGAAGAGCAGGAUGGGGAAGAAGGGGCCGGACCCCUCUUCGGCGCCGGCCGCCUCGCCUCCAUCGUCGCCGUCGCCGUCGACGUCCUCCUCUUCCGACGCCAUGCUCGCUGUAGCCAUCUACGUUGGGGGAAAAGAGGAAGAGGAUUGGAGGAGGGAGAAAGAGGAAGGAGGGACGAGGGAGUUGAUGCUGACGCGUGGGUCCCAGUGUCAUAGAUUCAGAAUGGAAGGCGUAGAUGGAGAGGCUGUUGGAGUGAUAAAUGAGUUUGGCUUACAAUUCAAUUAGAAAGCUGGUUAUAUACGUGUUUUGGAGAGUCCGAUUUAAAAAGACUGUUAGAGAUGCUCUUAGCAACCAAAGGUGCGAUAUGGGGCGAGCCAGAUCAGGUCCUGAUGGAAGACGGCAUCGACACAUCUGGUACCGGCUGUGUUCGGAUAUAGGAUGCUGGGAACUAAACUCCCUGCAUUGAAAACGGAGUGAUUCAUUACCGCGUGAUUAAUUAAGUAUUUACUAUUUUUUAAAAAAAAUAGAUCAAUAUAAUUUUUUUAAACAAAUUUCGUAUAGAAACAUUUUGCAAAAAAUACACCGUUUAAUAGUUUAAAAAGCGUGCGCGCGGAAAACGAGGGAGAGGGGUUGGGAAAAUGGGAUUGCAAACACAGCUAUAGUCUUCGUGUACUGUCCAUGUCCGUGACGAUCUGUUGCUGGGAGUUGCUUCCGUUUUACUCUUGUCUUGCGUUCGGUGGAGUCCUGAUGUAGGUAAUGACUGGGUUUUUCGUAGGGAAUUUCGGGGAUUUACGGAUUUGUUUGUUUGUUUCUGUUUUUUUCUUUUUUUUUUGUUUUGUUUUGGAACUUCGGAAGAGUCCAAGGAUAUGAAAAAUCCGUCCGUGCAGAGCGGAAUUGAGGAAAGGAGGGAAGUUAUCGAGAAUCCUUCCCGUCGGCGUCCGAAGCCCGAGGAAAACAGUUUUCCUAUAAAUCUGUCGUCAAAUUUUUUACUUAAAAUUUGACGUUUUUUCAACCUACCGAUUAGCAUCUGAUUAGGGCAAGGCACUGAUAACUAAGUGAGGGUAUUGUACGCAUCUUUAAUUUUUUAGCUUUGCCACUGUAUAGAACGAAAGUGAUUGAACGAUAAUACUACUUUAAUACGGGUGAGAGAUCUCCCGUGAUGACUAUUUCGUAUGACUAGCGGUGUUUUAAAAGUUACAUUGAAGUUACAUGUAAGUUACACUAUAAUUAUACUGUAAUUAUAUGUAAGU